CUGCAGCCAAGUAAGCUGCCCUGGGAGGUCCCUUUUCUUACUGGGGCCUGGUGUGCAACGGUUGCCAACAGCACACUCAUUUGGAGUGACCUCACCCUGUUGCCUAUAUUGGCUACCCAAAGGGUCCUUGGAGACAACA
Microtus ochrogaster (prairie vole) is the source of this 139-nucleotide small nucleolar RNA. Its record names the gene SNORA70. It matches the Rfam family "Small nucleolar RNA SNORA70". From Rfam's summary of the family: snoRNA U70 seems to be exclusive to mammals and is a member of the H/ACA class of snoRNA which contain H (ANANNA) and ACA box motifs. H/ACA box snoRNAs are involved in the conversion of uridines to pseudouridines (5-ribosyluracil) a constituent of structural RNAs (transfer, ribosomal, small nuclear, and small nucleolar). NCBI's taxonomy places the organism in Eukaryota, Metazoa, Chordata, Mammalia, Rodentia, Cricetidae. The record is from Ensembl.